AGCUAAUACUUGCUUUAGCACUCUUGAUUAAGUUCUUGAGUGUGUACUUGUUAAGCCUUUUAAGAAAAAAGUUAUUAACUUAAGGAAUUAUAACAAAGAAGUAACACGUAAUGGAUCCGUCCAUUUUUAGUGUGUAUCAAUCGAGUUUCUGACCUAUCAGCUUUUGAUGUUAGGGUAUUGGCCUAACAUGGCUAUGACGGGUAACGGGGAAUUAGAGUUCGAUUCCGGAGAGGGAGCCUGAGAAAUAGCUACCACAUCUAAGGAAGGCAGCAGGCGCGUAAAUUACCCAAUUCUAAAAAAGAGAGGUAGUGACAAGAAAUAACAAUACAAGGCCAAUCUGGCUUUGUAAUUGGAAUGAUGGGAAUUUAAAACCUUCCCAAAACUCCAUUGGAGGGCAAGUCUGGUGCCAGCAGCCGCGGUAAUUCCAGCUCCAAUAGCGUAUAUUAAAAUUGUUGCAGUUAAAACGCUCGUAGUUGAAUUUCAAAGAAUCGAUAUUUUAAGUAACGCUUUUAGCUUAAUCCACAUAACUGAUACUACGUAUCGACUUUGUGCGCAUUUUGCUAUUAUGUGUUCUUUUAAUUAAAAUGAUUCUUUUUAAGGUCUUUCUUUUGCUCCGGCAUUUGAAGAUCUUGUUACUUUGAGUAAAUUAGAGUGUUCAAAGCAAACAGAUAUAGCAUUGCGCGUUUGAAUACUACAGCAUGGAAUAACAAAAUUGAACAAGUCAGAAUUUUGUUCUUUUUUCUUAUUUUGGCUUAGUUACGAUUAAUAGGAGUAGCUUGGGGGCAUUUGUAUUCAGAUGUCAGAGGUGAAAUUCUUAGAUUUUCUGGAGACAAACAACUGCGAAAGCAUUUGCCUAAAAUACUUCCAUUAAUCAAGAACGAAAGUUAAGGGAGUGAAGACGAUCAGAUACCGUCGUAAUCUUAACCAUAAACUAUACCGACUAGGUUUUGGAUGAAAGUAAAACAAAUAAGGAUAGUCUCUUCGGGGAUAGUCCUUAGAUUUCUUCCUUCAGUACCCUAUGAGAAAUCAAAGUCUUUGGGUUCUGGGGCGAGUAUUCGCGCAAGCGAGAAAGUUAAAAGAAUUGACGGAAGGGCACCACCAGGCGUGGAGCUUGCGGCUUAAUUUGACUCAACACGGGAAAACUCACUAGUUUAAGACAAGAGUAGGAUUGACAGAUUAAUAGCUCUUUCUUGAUUUCUUGGAUGGUGAUGCAUGGCCGUUUUUAGUUCGUGAAUAUGAUUUGUCUGGUUAAUUCCGAUAACGAACGAGAUCUUAACCUGCUAAUUAGCGGUAAGUACGACAUAUUUUUAUAUCGAAUUGGAUAUGUAUGAUUUGCUAAAUUGCGGUCGCAAAUAAUGAAGAUCUUGAUUGCUUUUCACGUCAGUGUUUUCCAGAAUCGUUGACGUGACUAGUAUAUUCUCGCUCCUUCUGUUCCCUGGACUUCACUUCCCUGGCUUAUCAUACCGUUUCCUUUUUGUGUAGAAAUGUAUUUAUUUUAUGUAAAGCUUCUUAGAGGAACGAUGUGUGUCUAACACAAG
Molecule: ribosomal RNA, 1538 nt
Filed under: Plasmodium sp.
Lineage: Eukaryota; Apicomplexa; Aconoidasida; Haemosporida; Plasmodiidae
Description: SSU rRNA
Rfam family: Eukaryotic small subunit ribosomal RNA
Source: RNAcentral